UCUUCUGAAGCUUGGACAAGCUAGGAUGUCCUAAACGACUGUGAAGUAGGUCUGGAGGAUCUGCAACUAGACAGGCCUUGGAGGAUUUUAGUGAGUGAAGAUAGUAGAGUCUUUUGGAUUCAAGUCAUGUUCCAAUCGUUUGUGCCGUACUGCGAUCCUGCAUAAUAAACGAAUCAUCAAUAAAAUAUAUACCACAAUGGAUGGCACGAGUCAAACGACUAACAGAUGCAAGAUUAAAAGGACAGCCAGGGACAUAAAGAACGGAAUCUAGAGUGACAGGGGUAGGGGAUUCGCUUGUCUAACUUCUUUUGCUUUAGUUUGAGACCCAUUGGCUAAAGUAACGUUGGGAAGAAACUGUGAAUACGCAAUAUUUGACAAAAAGGAUUUAUUACCAGAGCUAACAGAUGCAAGAUUAAAAGGACAGCCAGGGACAUAAAGAACGGAAUCUAGAGUGACAGAGGGUAGGGGAUUCGCUUGUCCAACUCCUUUUGCUUUACUUUGAGAUCCAUUGGCUAAAGUAACAUUGGGAAG
RNAcentral lists this long non-coding RNA (531 nucleotides) under Nicotiana benthamiana. RNAcentral describes it as "long non-coding RNA (NBEN_LNC032172)". The record is from RNAcentral. Lineage: Eukaryota; Viridiplantae; Streptophyta; Magnoliopsida; Solanales; Solanaceae.